UUGCUGUUAAGCCGUGGCCAGUGGUAGAAGAUGGAGCUAGGAGCAGAAGAGAACUUGACGUGACAUUACCAUGCUGGCGUCUUUCCCACUCGGUGGUCUUUGUGCUGUUUUGUCUUUCAUAUUUAUUAGUGAGUGGACCAUUUCUAAAAGUAAAACUGUCAAGGAAGGCAACUUUGAAGUGUUUGCUCUUGUGUAAUGUAUACCUGUCUACUUAAAACUGGACAGCAACCAUCCUUUCACCCAGACAACCAAUGGCCAAUCCUGAUCAGAUGGCCAAUCCUGAUCUACAAUAAGUAUUUAUUCCAAACAUGCCUCGUAUUUGUAAGUAAAGAAAGUAAUCUGUAAUUCUUAUGCAACAAAUAAUGGAAAAAAUAAUGCAGCUCUUUCCAUUUUGUUUGUAACUAAAGGAAGUAACCCUAACUUAUCAACAAGUAAGAAAAAGGAAGAAUAUGCAGUAUGUCCACCCUUACUAUCUUUUCUGUAUUCAUUGUAGUUUUUCACUUAAUAUUCUAAAUACUACAUCAUAGAAUAACAUUGCAAACAUACAACUAGAAAAUGUUUUUCCUUCAUAAUGAACAUGUCUGACCUAAGAGAGAAGCAUUGUUUUCA
Molecule: long non-coding RNA, 609 nt
Organism: Cygnus atratus (black swan)
Lineage: Eukaryota; Metazoa; Chordata; Aves; Anseriformes; Anatidae
Exons: 3
Source: RefSeq, a predicted model, not a curated record